RNAcentral lists this transfer RNA (88 nucleotides) under Sphingobacteriaceae bacterium. RNAcentral describes it as "tRNA-Gln". It matches the Rfam family "tRNA". From Rfam's summary of the family: Transfer RNA (tRNA) molecules are approximately 80 nucleotides in length. Their secondary structure includes four short double-helical elements and three loops (D, anti-codon, and T loops). The record is from RNAcentral. Lineage: Bacteria; Pseudomonadati; Bacteroidota; Sphingobacteriia; Sphingobacteriales; Sphingobacteriaceae.
UCGGGGAUCGCCUAAUGGUAGGGCUCUAGUCUUUGGAACUAGCGAUCAGCGAAAGUUGUUGGUGGUUCGAUUCCAUCUCCCCGAUCCA